Molecule: non-coding RNA, 21 nt
Filed under: Arabidopsis thaliana (thale cress)
Lineage: Eukaryota; Viridiplantae; Streptophyta; Magnoliopsida; Brassicales; Brassicaceae
Source: RNAcentral
UGGUAGCGGCAGUGUGCUACU